CAUGCAUCUCUCAACAUGGCAACAGCUGACACGGCGGGUCGCAGCUGAUAGUAAAAACAACGGCAGCACUGUAAACAGAGCUAACAGUGUUAACCUGGGGGGAACCGGAGGGUGUGUGUGCUACGCGUCAGCAACGGCACCGUUGGUCAAGACGGCAUUAUCAGCUGUAACCGCCAUAUGAGAGUAGUGCAGAGCAGUGACCAUGAGCUAGCCAGUGGGGCACGCUCACAUCCAAUGAACAUGCACUAAAAUGGCACACACGGCCGGCCCGGGGAUGUCAACAAAGCAUGGAGAAGCUCGGACUUCGGACACUCAAAGAGAGAUAGUGACUUCUUUCUCUGCUCAGAACUGCCCGGUCACUUUAAGCGUCGGCGUUGGCCUGGUGGGGAGAGAAACUGUCCUGUAAAUGAAAAGGUCACAGGUCCAAUCCCAACAACAGUUUAUGUGUGCAUCACUGCGGAGGAGGACAUUCACGUCGUACUCUCCACAGGGAGCGAGAUGCAUCAUGCAUGUACAUCCAUCUCAGAGGAAUACGCAAAGAAAAAAAGACACUUCAUUACUCGACUUUACUGUCCUGUGUGUUAGGGCUGCACAAUAUAUCAUUAUUUUAUCGUCAUUGUGAGGUCAACUUGCACAAUAAACACAGCGCAAAAGAC
Molecule: long non-coding RNA, 656 nt
Organism: Sebastes umbrosus (honeycomb rockfish)
Lineage: Eukaryota; Metazoa; Chordata; Actinopteri; Perciformes; Sebastidae
Exons: 2
Source: RefSeq, a predicted model, not a curated record